ACCUUUUAUCGUAGAGAAAUCAUCUCUCCUCAAGGAAGAGGUGGAUGAACAAGUUAGACUUCCUGCCUUCUUUUUCCAGGUUGCCUGUCUGCCUCCAGUUUCCUCCUUCUUUUCCUUAUCUGCCUUUGUCUUUCCCUUUACCCUGCUUUCUAUCUUCUCCUCUCAGCUUUCUUCCCAGUCUCUGGACCAGACAGGUGAGGUAAUUCCUCUGCCAUGGCUUUAACCUUUGGCCUUCAAUGUCCUGGGACUGCAGUGUGAGUCCACACAUCCAGAUCCUGGCCUCUGUCUCUCUAUCCUGGCCUACGACCAGGGCACUGGUUAAAACCAAAACCCAAACAAGGAAAUUUUACAACAAUGUCUUAUAAGCCACUUGGGCCUUAAAAAGCAGUGAAAUAGUAAAUGGAGCAGCCCUUACCUGUAGUCAUAGAGGAGCUAAACCUACAACCAUUCACUGCAAUUCUGUGAGAGAAGUUUCCAUGUAAGGUGUAAACUCUAUGCUUGUAUUCCUCUGAGCUCACUCCCAUGAACAGAACUACAGCAACAACUUCCCAUGAACAGCUGCAGAGGAGUUUGCAUUUCUUCUGCUGGAGAACUGGGAGCAGGAAACACCCAGGUUUGCUUGGAAUACCCAGAAUGGAGCUGUUGGUAAAUCACAGUCCACACCCCAACUCUUCAGUCUUUUUGCUAAUUUCUGCUGCUUCACUUCAGAGUCCCAGAACAACACUGUGAUGACUCACCAGCUCUACUUCCUUUUGGUGUGAAAUGACUUCCUGUGCGUUGGAGAGGCCAAAGGCUGGAGGGACCCCACUGUAGCACCAUUCUAUGGCUGAAAGAUCUGAGACCCAAAGAAUCUACAUGAGUUGUCUGUUUCUGCACAACUGGCUGUGGAGUGCUUUCUCCUGCUCAGCAAGGCUCAGUGCUGGCUGAAUUUCCUGUGACAUUUGCAUGUGAUUCCAUAGUCCCAUACUGUUCACAAGUGGGUAAUCCUAGAAGACUGCCGAGCCUGGAUGACUGAGGAGAAAGGCCGAUCACUUGGAGGAGUGGUCCAGAGCAUGCAAUUCAGAGUGUGAUUUUUACCGUAGACACACAGACACCCACAAGAGAGAGCGGUUGGUAUUCAUAGUAAGCCAGACAGUAUCCAAUUCUAACUGGACACAGUAUUUUUCCCCACAAGACUUGGUACCAGCUGAACACAGCAUCGUGGAAGAACUCUCUACCACCGGAAAUGAAUCUAUGAGGAAUCUGGGUUAAAGAGGGGAGAGAAAAUGGGAAGAAAGUCUAGGCACUUCAUUCCUCCUUCAGCCUCUGUACAACGCCAUGUGACAGAGUCCUUGUGACAGCAAAUCUUUUUGUAAGAAUUCAUUUAGUAAUACUUUUUGUUGUCUAGUAUAAACCAUGAAAAGUUUUGUUAAGACAAAGAACUCAAGAAAAUCAAGUCAGUAGGAGUAUGGAUCUGUUAAUGAUCUUGGACAUAUACAUAUGGUCCUUUAUAGAGGCGUGAAAAGUCAGGUAAAGAAAACAUUAAAAGUAAAAGAUAGUGAACAGGGGGGGAUAAAAGAAGAAAUGUAAUUACAGACAGGGAGAUUAUAACGGGAAGAAACAGCGGCUAACUUAUAUUUCUCUUCAAAACACAAGCUAAGAGAUUUGAUGUGAACAAAAAUGGAGAAAUAUCCCACUUUUCUGAAUUGCAACAGAUAAAUUAAAAACAAAAAUAUUUAAGGAAGAUUCCAAAAUGGGGGCCUCUGAGGUCUAAAUCCUGUGUAAUUUUUUUUGGUUGAUGAUGGUAAAUGUAUUGUUAGCACCCAUUAAACUGGUCUAAUCAGUGGAAAUACGAA
This is a long non-coding RNA of Grammomys surdaster, 1835 nucleotides long. RefSeq lists it as uncharacterized. NCBI's taxonomy places the organism in Eukaryota, Metazoa, Chordata, Mammalia, Rodentia, Muridae. The transcript is spliced from 7 exons. The record is from RefSeq and is a predicted model, not a curated record.